Molecule: long non-coding RNA, 205 nt
Filed under: Mytilus galloprovincialis (Mediterranean mussel)
Lineage: Eukaryota; Metazoa; Mollusca; Bivalvia; Mytilida; Mytilidae
Source: RNAcentral
UGGGGGCCAAUCCUACACAAUGCCAUAAAAAGAGACAAGAAAUAAAAAAAAAAAGAUUCAAAAACAUAAAUAAUCAAAAUUUUAAUCUGCUGACCGAGUCCCUGAGGUAAUUUUUUGGAUAUUUAAAACCGAACUUAGAGAGAUAUUUUUAAUUUUCAUCAUAUAAUGCGGGCACGUGUCAUCGAUUACACACCUACUCAGCCGU